AUUGAACGCUGGCGGCAGGCCUAACACAUGCAAGUCGAACGGUAACAGAAAGCAGCUUGCUGCUUUGCUGACGAGUGGCGGACGGGUGAGUAAUGUCUGGGAAACUGCCUGAUGGAGGGGGAUAACUACUGGAAACGGUAGCUAAUACCGCAUAACGUCGCAAGACCAAAGAGGGGGACCUUCGGGCCUCUUGCCAUCGGAUGUGCCCAGAUGGGAUUAGCUUGUUGGUGGGGUAACGGCUCACCAAGGCGACGAUCCCUAGCUGGUCUGAGAGGAUGACCAGCCACACUGGAACUGAGACACGGUCCAGACUCCUACGGGAGGCAGCAGUGGGGAAUAUUGCACAAUGGGCGCAAGCCUGAUGCAGCCAUGCCGCGUGUAUGAAGAAGGCCUUCGGGUUGUAAAGUACUUUCAGCGGGGAGGAAGGGAGUAAAGUUAAUACCUUUGCUCAUUGACGUUACCCGCAGAAGAAGCACCGGCUAACUCCGUGCCAGCAGCCGCGGUAAUACGGAGGGGUGCAAGCGUUAACCGGAAUUACUGGGCGUAAAGCGCACGCAGGCGGUUUGUUAAGUCAGAUGUGAAAUCCCCGGGCUCAACCUGGGAACUGCAUCUGAUACUGGCAAGCUUGAGUCUCGUAGAGGGGGGUAGAAUUCCAGGUGUAGCGGUGAAAUGCGUAGAGAUCUGGAGGAAUACCGGUGGCGAAGGCGGCCCCCUGGACGAAGACUGACGCUCAGGUGCGAAAGCGUGGGGAGCAAACAGGAUUAGAUACCCUGGUAGUCCACGCCGUAAACGAUGUCGACUUGGAGGUUGUGCCCUUGAGGCGUGGCUUCCGGAGCUAACGCGUUAAGUCGACCGCCUGGGGAGUACGGCCGCAAGGUUAAAACUCAAAUGAAUUGACGGGGGCCCGCACAAGCGGUGGAGCAUGUGGUUUAAUUCGAUGCAACGCGAAGAACCUUACCUGGUCUUGACAUCCACGGAAGUUUUCAGAGAUGAGAAUGUGCCUUCGGGAACCGUGAGACAGGUGCUGCAUGGCUGUCGUCAGCUCGUGUUGUGAAAUGUUGGGUUAAGUCCCGCAACGAGCGCAACCCUUAUCCUUUGUUGCCAGCGGUCCGGCCGGGAACUCAAAGGAGACUGCCAGUGAUAAACUGGAGGAAGGUGGGGAUGACGUUCAAGUCAUCAUGGCCCUUACGACCAGGGCUACACACGUGCUACAAUGGCGCAUACAAAGAGAAGCGACCUCGCGAGAGCAAGCGGACCUCAUAAAGUGCGUCGUAGUCCGGAUUGGAGUCUGCAACUCGACUCCAUGAAGUCGGAAUCGCUAGUAAUCGUGGAUCAGAAUGCCACGGUGAAUACGUUCCCGGGCCUUGUACACACCGCCCGUCACACCAUGGGAGUGGGUUGCAAAAGAAGUAGGUAGCUUAACCUUCGGGAGGGCGCUUACCACUUUGUGAUUCAUGACUGGGGUG
RNAcentral lists this ribosomal RNA (1466 nucleotides) under uncultured bacterium. RNAcentral's name for it is "bacterial SSU rRNA". It matches the Rfam family "Bacterial small subunit ribosomal RNA". The record is from RNAcentral.